CUGUUUAUUUGUUAUUGUUGUUAGUGGAUUAAAUGAUAACAAUCUUAUCUCUGAACUAUAAAAUAACUAUUAUUUAGCAAAUUCUUUAACUUUUUCUUAAUUAAAUGAUAAAAAGAAUCAUGUCGGAUGUUGAUGUAAAAGCCGGUAUUCAACAUAUUCUGAAAAGAAUUGAUGUCGCUUUUGAACAACGGCCCAAGGAGUUAAAGGGUGACAAGCCGCUCUUGGUGGCUGUUAGUAAAACUAAACCCGUAGAAAUGAUAAUCGAUGCCUAUUCAGUGGGUCAACGUCAUUUUGGGGAGAAUUAUAUACAGGAAUUAGUAGAAAAAGGCAAUCAUCCUGAUAUUUUGUCACAGUGUCCCGAUAUAAAGUGGCAUUUUAUUGGUCAUUUACAAAGUAACAAAAUAAAUAAGAUAAUUAAACUACCCAAUUUAUAUAUGAUCGAAACUGUGGACAGUCAGAAAUUGGCCAAUCAUUUAAAUAACGCCUGGGAAAAGGUAGAAAUUGAAAAUAAACAACCCUUGCAAGUGCUCAUACAAAUAAAUACCAGCGGUGAAGAGGCUAAAAAUGGUGUACCACCAAGUGAAGCUUCUGCUUUGUUUAAAUUUAUUAAAGAAAAUCUUAAACAACUUGAUGUUAAGGGUGUUAUGACCAUUGGAGCUUUUGGCUUCGACUAUAGUCAAGGACCAAAUCCAGAUUUUGUUAAACUAAUGGAAGUGCACAAGCAAAUUUGCCAAGAGAAUCAAUUGAAUGAGGCUGAAUUACAGGUGUCGAUGGGCAUGUCGGAUGAUUUUGAAAGAGCGAUUGAAAUGGGUAGUACUAUUGUGCGUGUAGGUAGUUCUAUUUUUGGUUAUCGGGCUAAAAAGACCACUACUGCUUAAGUCAUCUACGAAUGGUACGAUCUUAUACAGCGAGUAAAUUGUAUACUAAAUACAAAAAUCUAAAUUGUAUUUUAUUAUUAUUGUUGUUGCUUUUAGCUGUUGUAUAUAUGUGAAAAUGAAAUUUAGGACAAUACUACAUGAUGAUUGUUUUUCCCUCUACUAGAUGACGCAGUUUGAUUAUUGAACAUGUAUUUGUAUAUGAUUAAGUUUAUACACACAUUUAAAUAAAUUUACCUAUAUACUAAGUUGAACAAAAAAAAA
RNA transcript from Lucilia sericata (common green bottle fly), 1139 nucleotides. It is a transcript of the gene named pyridoxal phosphate homeostasis protein, with no coding region annotated. NCBI's taxonomy places the organism in Eukaryota, Metazoa, Arthropoda, Insecta, Diptera, Calliphoridae. The record is from RefSeq and is a predicted model, not a curated record. The transcript has 6 exons.